Chiroxiphia lanceolata (lance-tailed manakin) is the source of this 11339-nucleotide long non-coding RNA. RefSeq lists it as uncharacterized. Lineage: Eukaryota; Metazoa; Chordata; Aves; Passeriformes; Pipridae. The record is from RefSeq and is a predicted model, not a curated record. The transcript is spliced from 4 exons.
GGGCGGGUAGGGGGAGGUUGCUCUGUGUGGUGCAGGAGCCGGGGCGGCUCCGGUGACUCUUGGGGCUGUGCCUCUUGAGCUGUCCGGGGAGAGGGGUCCGUGCGGGGCUGUAGCAGCCGCGGCACUUAGCUGUGGGACCAAGUACGGGCUGGGGAUUAAAGAGUAGCGCUGGCCUUGGUGGGAGAGGCCGUCAAAAGGGAGCAGGCUGGGUCAUGCCCUUGUCGCAUACCAGGUGACAGGCUGCGUUGGCUGUUUUGAGGCUUUUUUUCAGGGUUGUAGCUUCUGUCUGAUAAUUGCACUAGUGGUGUUUGGUUGUCAUAGACGUAGGGCUUAGCGUGACCAGCAGGAGGAGCUUUGUUUCCUCCUAGAGGCAGCUGCCCUCAGUAUGUCUGGAAAAGGGUAGGAUUAGAUUAGAUAUAAGGAAGACAUUUUUUUUCAAGGAUGGUGAUGCAUAGAAACAGGCUGCCUGGUGAAGUUGUGGCUGCCUCAUCCCAAAGCCAGGCUGGAUGGGGCUCUGAGCAACCUAGUCUAGUGGAAGGUGUCGCUGCCCACGGCAGGGGGGUUGCAACUAGGUGGUCUUUAAGGUCCCUUCCAACCCAACCUAUGACUCUGUGUCCAUAGAGUCAUAUAUCAGCCUUGAAAAAGCUGAGAGAAUGGAUGAGAUGUAAAGCAUCUCAGCAGUUCACCUAACUUGCUUGCCCAUUAUCUUAGGUGUGCUUGCUGUCUGGUGUUGGUGUGGCUUAGCCAGAUGACUGGGUGCUGUCUUAGUUUCAGCAUACUUCUGGCUGGCAUCUAGGAGGUAGGCUAGAAUUUUGACCAGCAGGUUUUAGACUUUAUUGUACUGAACGUCAUCCCUGCUUUUGCUAGGCUUUUGUGUUGGGGAUUGGGAAAUGAUCUGCUCACCAAAAGAGAGAGUAAUCAAAGCUCCCUUAGGCUUAAGGGGACUGAAGUUCCCUGAAACAAUGUAUAGAAGACUUUUAAUGUAAACUCGAAGGGAGGAUGCUCAAGGUAUUGCAUGGCUUGUGAAAUAAUACCCUUUCUAGCUACAAGUGAUUCCUGUGAAAUAAAGCACUUUAUUAUCUCAAGAAGGUACUCAAUUGAAAGGAGUUGUGAAGAGUUUUACAGGCUUGCUUGAUGUGUUAGCUAAAGUCCAGUAGUGGUACAGCUCAGGACAAAUGGGGCUGUGGGGUUUAUUUUGUACUUUGGUUCCUCUCGGAGGUAAGUAGGAUGUAUUUGCUCAGGAUAUUGCCUCACAAUAACUACAUAGAUAGUGUGUUUGCCCCAGGAGACACUCGAGGGCGGGAGGGAGGAUGUCAUGAGAUGUUCUGUGAUGCAUUUGCUUCACCUGAACAUUGCAGCCUUUCAAAAUCUGCUGGUAUUACAGCAAUGUGUACCAUUCUUCUGUGGCUUUAUAUGCAGCUCUCUUCAGCUAAAGAAUCAGAACCAGUUGCUUGCCAUCCUGUAAAAAGUCUAGUGUCCUGUAAGUGCUUCUCCUCAUGUCCAGGUUGUCCCAUUUUGCCAUAUUCACAAGUAAAGAAAAAGAGAGGGUGGAAUGCUCUCUUGCUGCUGUACCUUUCAUUAAUAGUUCCAUACAUCUGAAGAAUUCUGGAUUACAAGUACAGCCCUUUUUAUUUCUUUUCUACUUCUUUUUCUUCUCUUUGCAGAUACCUUUAGAUUAGGUGAACUGUGGGUGAAAUAAAGGGGCAGUGGCAUGAUGACUUCACAGUUACAACAGUGUUCCACAGUAGACUUUAGCCCUAUGUUUUAUCUGUGCAGCUGAUUCCUGGUACUGAUGGUAAGUAUUGCAGUGGAAUUCUAGGGUAGACUCGACUGUCUUUUCUAUAACUGGCAGCAGAAGUGUAUGUGAAAUCUGCAUCCAGGAUGAUCUGCUGGUCUAAUGACAGUAUGUUUUGUUACUUAAACUGGUUUAGAAACAAUUGGUUUUACCUGCAGUGGUUUCCCUCUCUCCCUCCCCAUCCCACUGGAGUCAGUGCUGCUGCUCUGAGAAAGUUGCAGUGCACCUCACUUUGCAGAUAGUUUUUCUUCAUUGUUUUUACCAUUGUUUAUACCUUAUUUCUUUAUCUGUAGAAGCCCUGAUGUCUCAGCAGAGAGUUGCUAUAGCAUAUCAAAAUGUAGGAAAAAGGAAAUGACUUCAGAAACUACCCAAGUGAAUGCCUGAUACAAGAGACAAGUAAAACACUGUUUUCUCUGUGUGUGUGUAGUUCACUUCAGUCAGUUUGGGGGUGUCUGAUACUUGUCAGUGUAUGGAUUUUACUCAUCGGUGACAACUUGUUAGAACUGUUAAUGACAAAACCUGUUUUCUGUGUGUCAAACUCGGAUAGCAUGUCCACCUGAAAGCGCUAAUGCACAAGUCUCUCCUGACCGAACAGAUCUUAGUUGCAAGAUCCACAAGAAGCUUACAGUCCUAUUGCAGAAAUAAGCAUUUUCUUGGCGUUUCAUAUGAUAAUAUGCAAGGUGAUGAUAGAAUUGAAAGCCUGCCUUUGGCUUUUCUUAAACACAAAGGUAUGCUCUACUUUAAUGCUGUUAGUGGAAACUUACUCUGGUGUGUGUCUGGUCCUCAGCCUAUGAAGCUGAUGUGUUUGUCUGUACUUGAACUACUAUGCUGACACUGCAAAAACUAUGGAUUAUCUGAAGUGAUUUUUGUCACUGUGGACUCAGGUAAGCAACCACCCAGUUUCCUGAAGGCCUGGAGAAAGAGUUGGAAGAUCCUGCAGGAGAUCUGAGGAAGAUAAGGAUAAUAGGAAUAUGUGAUGACUUAAAGAAGAAAUUGCGUAAUCAAAGUUUAAUUUAAGUUCAUAUGUAGAAACCUGUCUUUGUGUCUCAGCUUUCCUUCUGACAAGUUUCCUCUAAAUGAAAAUGUCGAGGAUUUGGAUGCUGUAAAUUGAGCAGUCACUGGAUACUGUACUAAGCCAGCUCUGCAGUCUGCAUGAGAUACGCAGAUUUUGAGAUGAAGUGUACAAAUAGAUUAUUACGUAAUUUUUAAGGUGUCCGGUGUUAUAAUGCCACAGUGUCAGCAUCCAUGGCAGCGCAGCACAGAGAACUGUCAGGGGUUGUCUUGGUUCUUGCAAACUCACUGUCAGGCCUAACAUAAUUCCUGGUAUGCACAUUAGCAUUAGUGGAAUAUAGUUUGUAAGGAUUAUUGAUACCUUACAAGAGUACUUCUAUGCUACUCUUGGAAUGUGAGUUGUGUUUUAAAAUCCAAUUUUCUUAACUAUCCCAGCUGUAAAACUUGGUUGUCUACAGUCCCAGCUGCUUAUUUCAAAGCCUCUGGUGGAAGGGUGUUAACUCUUUCACAUCAAAGUUACUGCUCAGAUGAUGGAGGAUGAAGAAGCUGCAAUGAAGUUUGGUUGCUUGGCUGGUUGGUUGCAAUUGUCUCCCAUGGAGCUGUUUCCCAAAAAGUUAUGGAGCUGCAAAGAGAAAGGUGAGAGGGUGAAUUUAGCUGGGUAGAAUAGGUAAGUAUUUCUAUAUCAUGUUACUGUUUCCAAGUAUAUUAGUCAUAGCACAGAAGAAUACAUUGUGUUGUCUUGGUUCUUUGACAGGGAAAGCUUGGAAAAACAGGAGAGAGUGGAAGACUUCUGUGCCUUUUUUAAAUGUUUUCAAUGAAAUUGUGGGGAGGAAGCUGUUAAACCAGUAUCUGGAAGAGCCUAGUAUUCCUGCAUAGCAAAAGGAGUCUGUAAAGCUGCUCUGGAAAUAAUUCUAGUGACUAAUUAUGAAGUGUAACUUUUUUUUGUGUGUGUGUCUUUCAGCACAAGAAGAGUGCUCUAAGAGCAGUCAAGAACCUUUUCAGUUAGCAUGAACAUGUUCUUCAACCAAAAUGUGGCAGCAGUUCAAUAGCAGUUACACAACAGGAAAGGGUGUGCAGGCUACUGCAAGUCCCUGGGUUCAUAAGAUCUGGUAUCUGAAAGAACUCACUAGAGAGAAGAAUGUGGUUUUUUCCACAACUUCUAUCUUGAGUUGAAAAGAGAGCUAAUACUGCUCUCUACAAUAAAAUUGAUUUUAUUGUAGAUACUGGAGAUGGUCAUCACAAUAUGCAGGACUUCAAAGCGUUAGGACACUUAAAAACUGCAGGUAGUUUGAGUACAAGAGACUCCAGGGCUCCAGUUGUGGGAAGUUCCCUCUUCAGAAGGCACACUAACAUUGGGGAAAACUUGCUAAACACAAGGAGACUCAAAAUGUUCUGCGGCUGUCUCAGCUACACAUGGAUAUAUCUCUUAAGGUGGGAUGGUGUGAUAUGACCACUGAAGACCAUAGGGCUGUAAGCAGACCACUUUUCUCUUACGAGCAUGUGUGCCACUAACCAGUUCAGAAGCACCCCCAAAGCUUCAGGUUUUGUCACAUAAUAGUAUUUCCUGGAACAAUAGCUUUUCUUAGUCCACCUCACUCCUGCAAAGCCAGCUGGCUCAUGGCAGCACUGCCGUGAAGAUACGCCUUCCACACCCACGAGUUGCUGAAGACUUGCACAGAAGAUUACUCAGACGGGCUCCAGAGCUGAGCAUAAAUCUUUUGGCUCACACUGUUGUAGCUUUAAGAUGCACGAGUGCUUCCAUGUGGAACAAGAAACACUCAGGCUGCGUGUUUAGAUGUACUUUGUGUUUGCACUGCCCUCUGCAGCACAGAGCUUGAUCAAGCCCUGUAUUGCAUAAAGCAGGUGGAGGUAUCCGGCUGAGAUAGUGCUUGGGAUGGACCUCACUCAGUUGCCACUGAUCAUGGAAAGAUCUGUUUUUGUUGUGUAGGGGUAAACCUGAGUUGGUAACUGAUACUGCUCAGCUGAUGUGUGUGUCUGUGCCAGGUGAGCAGUCCAUGAGCUGACAAAUCUUUGACCAUGGUACUAGCUCUUAAUACUUUCAAAAUAAUAAAAAGGGGGGGCGAGGGGCAGCAGAGGAUUUUUUUAAGGGUCACAUAAGUUCUACUGAAAUGAAAAGCUCACUAAAAAUAUCUUUGUGGAAAGAAUACAUUUUAGGAAAUGAUGAUGCCUGUGACGAGAGCAAAAUGAGCCUUUAGUUAUGGCAAGCCUCCAAUGCUGUUCUUUGUCCCUGUUUUUGUGAGGUGUGGGUGAAAAGUGAACACAGGGAGAGUGAAAGCCAUAACCAGAGGUUAAAAUUUAAUUUUAGCAACCAUAGUUUAAGUCAAAUGAUGCACCAUUAUUUAUUUUCUUAGAAAAUCCUACAACUAAAUUGAUAGGCUGGAGUCUCUCAUUAUGCAUGCAAGUGUUCUCAGGUUCUCCAGCUAUUUGGGUGCAGUGGUGCAAAAUUUUGUGUUGCUUCCUGUAUGAUUCAGCUUAAAAUACUAGCUUGGGCAGGUGAGUACUUAAACAACAGUAUUGCAGUCAGAGCGCUCCUUAGUGCACACAAACCAUUUCCUUUGGGUAAGUUAAUGCUGCGCUGUGAAAAAGCACACAACUUCUGGGACAGCAGCAUUUGAUAGUAUCUAUACCAGAAUUCCCUGGGUUUGCUCUUUUCCUUGGUCUCUUCACCCAGACUUUUAGCUUUUCUGUACAUUAUCACCACCUGACUCUUUUCUACCACCUCAUUAUUUUUGGGGCUUUUUUUUGCUAUUUCUUUUCCAAGUGCCUCUUCCUGAAAAACUGACUACCACAGUGAGUAUCACAGUUCCGGGGCAAGUUUCUGCUCACAUGGUUUCACUUGCUCUAUUUUGUUAUUUACAUACAAAGUCCUAAGGAUAUAAUUUAGUGGACUGCUAGUGAGUAGCUAACGUUCAUGUCUUGACUGCAGUCUGCAUAGGUCAGGUUUGCACAAGUCUCCUGCUUCUUGAAUUCACUUCUGUAAGCAGGACUAGUGAUAGCUCAGUGUAGUUGAGAUGAAUCCCAGCAUGAACAGAGAGCUGGAGUAAGAUGUGGAACAGUUUUAAGUUUGGGGUUUUUUUUCCUUACCAAGACUGCAAAUAUAUUUUCCUCUUAUGCAACUAAUUCUUACAUUUGGGGAGUUGUAUGUUACCCCUGCACACAUAGCCAAAUAUAAUUUUAAUGGCAGAGUAGGCCUGCAAAAGAGAGAAUUAGGUAUUAAAAUGUUCCACGUAUAAUAGAUGAAAAGCUAAUCUGAGUUUCCUCCUGCUACCAAUGAAAUUGGCUGCUCUGCCAUAAACUUUUGCUAUGCUAAUAUGAUUUACUGCUCCACUGUGAUAAUGGUGAAUGUUGCUCUUUGGUGAGGACAAUGUGGUGGCAGCUGUUUCAGAGUGAUGAGCAGCGGCUUUGCUGAACAUGCUCUGCUUCAGCGGAUGUCAGCUAAAACAGCAGUUGCAUCCCCCGAGUUAGAUUGUUGCUGUUGUUAACCUUUGUAGAGAAACAUGCAAAGUAUAGGCAGGUGCAAUCCUCGGGUGAAUUGGCAAGAGGGUGUUGCACAGCCAAGUGGAUACUGUGUCUCACCAGGGAGGAAUGGCAGGGAUGAGCUUUACUAGUUCAUAUCACUGAGGUCCAUUUGGCCUCUUUCAAAUUCCUGCCCAUUGAAAGCUCCUCUGACCUCCAGGGUAGAUUGUGACUGGAGCAACUGCUGUCCCAGUGCUGCGUCCUGGAAAAAAGGAGGUGAUGAAUUGGAGUUUUAGUAGGCCCAGUGAAAAUAAAUGGAUUUUCUUUUCAUUAUAAAUAAUACAUUUAUACAGUAAUUUAUAAGUAUUUUUGUAGUGUAAAUACAUUUAUAUAUACAUACCUGGAAAUAUGUGCAUAUAUGUAUACAAAAGAUAUAUAUUUAAAUACAUUUGUAUACAUUAUUGUAUAAUAAUUCAUAAUUUAACACUUCAUAAAAUAUAAAUGAGUCAGUUGGGAGAAUCAUGGAAAAGUAGUGUAGUUUUGUCUUGCUGACAGACUCCUGGGAUAGAGAAGCUGUUCCCUCUUGAGCGCAAAUCAAACGUGAAUAUCUGGUCCCCAACAAAUACAGUUUGUGUUAAUUAUUUUAUUAAAAUAUCCAAUCACAUCUGUCUUUUAAGCUCUCAUCCUUGAGAAGGUUGUUUGGUUGUGGAUUAACCUUGUCAGGAGUAUUGACAUGCUUGGCUAGGGAACCAGGUAUGUGUGGGGUCUCUCACAAGUUUCUGUCAACACUUGAGUGUUGUGGCUCUCUGGGAUGGAUAACAUUGCUGCCAUUCAUUCUGAGUGGUGUUGCAGCUUCAUUUGCACAGGUUUGAUGGUAUCUCGGGUAUCCCAGCCCUUUGCUAUAGGCAGUUCUCCAUUAUCUGAAGGUAAGUUUAGGUACAAAUCAUGUCAGCCAAGAUGCUGGGUUUGGAAGAUACUAGGUUUGGAAGAUGCCUGCUUCAUUCUGUGGUAUGAGUACCACUCUUGGGUACUGUUGAUGUACCAAUCUUAUUCCUCCCAAAGGAAAUGUGCUCCCUGAGCUUUCCCUCUGCUAUGGUAGUGCUUUAUGUGUGCAGUCUCCAGGUAACGUUCACCUCUGUGCAAUGCAAAGGGAUGGCUACUCCAGUCUUCCCUGAAUUUACUGCUCUGCAGUCAGUCACAUAGCAGGAAAAGCAAAGCAUUAUUUUGUUCAUGUCCACCAUUGACAAAUGGGAUUUGGUUUUUGUCAUCAUUUUGUUUCUAUCUAGGUGUGUGCCAACACACAGGUUUUCCAUGCUUCCUUUUUUUUCUCUUUUUCUAUCUCCUUGUCACCCACACAUAGUACAUCACACUCAGUAUUUAGUGUGUCAGAAGCCCUAGGAUAAUUAUCAUUUGUUAACUGUGUGAAGGUGGUAGUUCUGAUGGCUGCAGAAUUCCAGCUAUUGCAUCCCAUCAUUAUUAAGAAGAAAAAAGAAAGCUUGGAGGAAAGAGCCCUGCUUUCCUUCUUGAAUCUUGGGGCGGUGUGGGGAGGGAGAGGGGAUAGAUUAAUAACACUUUAAAAGUAGACAAAAAGUGCUUUUCCUGUGCUGAGUUUCAUAUUUUUAACCUUUGCAUUUUAAAAUUUCAAAGUAGCACUUUCCAUUUGCUAAACUGAUGACACCUGAGGAAAAACAGAUCUUUACAGCCAAUUGCCUCAAAUACUGCAAAGACACAAGUGACAUUUUGCACAUGCCCUGUAAGUGCAGACCCAGUGUAUUGCUGGAAACCAACCUGUCACAGCUAAAAUACAAUAAUGCAAAAAGCCAUCAGAAGGCUGAGCAAACCCAGCCCUUCUUACGUGUUACUUCUACAGUGUUCUGUCUAAAAACUAUUAUCCCUUGGAAAACUAGCUGACACAUUUUAAUGAGAAGAAUCAAAGUGCCUCUGUAGGGUUCUCCUAAUUUUAAUACAUUCAUAAUCAUAGAAAGAUUAUAUUGGAAGCCAUCUGUAGAUAAAUGUAACUUCCUGAGACAGCUUAAACUACUGAGCCAUUUUCAUAUAGCCCAUUUGUGACAUCAUCAGAUAGGUUCACAUUUCUGAGGCCAAAAUAAAAGGUGGCUUUGUGUUAGUUAUUUAGAAGACACUAAAAAUCAUAAAAGGAGCCCUGAUUUUAGGUAAAGUGAGUGCAUGCCGGUGGUUACACAAGUCAGUAUUCAGGCAGGGUUUGUGGUUUCUUAGCUCACCAGUUUUAUCUACAGAGCAGCAAGGAGAACGUGGACUGUGUUAGCAAUCUUCUCCCCUGUGGCAGACACUCGUAGGCCAUGGCUGUGAGCUGGAACCUGGGCUGGAUGCAGCUGUGAGAGGACUGAGGGAAUGGCAGAACCUAUAACACUAAUGGGCACAGAGAGGGUGUCCCUCGGCCUUCUAUCUCCCCAGCUCCCCACCAGUCGGGUCACACCUCUGAAGUCUUCAGUGUAGCCAAAUACUACGUGGUGCUGCAAAAUGCACGUCAGAGAUGCGGAUCUCUGCUGGUUCUGACACUGGAGAGGCAGCUGUAGCUGCUGGCCCACUGUACUGGUGAGAAUAACCAAAAAUAACUAAAUUUAGGAAGACAGGUUUGAAAUAAUGUUGGUGAUGGUUUAGAACUACUUUAGCCUAGGACCAAAGUACUUGAAAUAAAUAAUUGAAUAAGUUGUUGGUGUUCUAGCAUUUAUUAGGGAUUGAAACAUAAGCCACUAACAGUGAAUGGAAGUCAUCUCGCUGAACUUCAGACACCCAGCAGGUGCCUGGUCUCAGUGUGGGCUUUCCUUGCACUCUGCAGAGAGGACUGCACACAUAUCAAGGUUGAUUUCAACACCUCUUAUGCUAAUUCAAGAGUCUUAAGUUUACAGAACACAAGCCAGCAGAAGCCUGAUCCCAAACAGUAUUUGUGCCUGUAUUAUUAUCAUGUGGAGUCACACUUCGCGCGACAGUUAUUGACUAGAUAGUUAAUUAUGGGAGUAACUUAUAUAGGAAUGGGCUCAAUUCUUGCGCCAGUGUUGCAGGAAGGCAAAUUUGUCUCUUGAGAUGUCUUUUCCUUUCUGUUGACUACAGAGGGAGCAGAGGUUAGGAUAGCUCAACAUUGACAUCUGACCUACACAUCUAGCUGAGGUACAUCUCACCCACUGUGCCUGCAGGCUGCUGCUACUACCAUUGGGUAAUACUCUGCCUCAUCUUUGAAGGUCUGUACACACUUAAUAGAUUUUAUGGAUCUGAUUUCACAUCCAAGGGAAUAAAGUGUGACAGUUAAAGCCAUGUAAGUAGUAGAUAGUCAUUAACUUUUCUGAAAUCAGUAGAAUUCCCCCAUGGGACCAAUUGCACAUGUACAAGUAGUUCAGACUGUCGUUGACUGGAGACCUGUUGGGAAGCUGUACAUAAUAAAAGGUAGUAGUAAGUGAUGAUGAAAAAUGUAUCAUGUUCUAAUAUAUAGUGAUUUAUAUUCUGAAUUAGAUGUUCUGUUGAGAAUUUUCCUACACAUUUUUAAGUAGUUUUAAAAGGUUUGAACAAAAAUUCAGCAAUUUCUGUCCUUGAUUUCCAUUUAUUUACCACUUGGAAACUAUUUUCAAAAUGGAAUUCCUAUCUAAAGGUCUUUAAUUAAAAAAAAAAAAAGUGAGUACCAGCAAUCUUUUGAACUAUUGCAGAAGUAUAGCGCAGAUGAGGCCUUAGUAUUUCCUAGAGUAGGUAAAAUUCCUCUCUGUUUGCAGAAAUAGAGCAACCUAGUGACCAACUCAAGCAAAAGAUCAAAGAGGCAUCUUCCCAGUGGCUACAAACUGCAGAUAACAUCUUGUUUUCCCUUCCACAAAACACAGGCAAUACCAAACAUGACUAGGAUUCACAUCUUCCUCAUCUGCAGGGAUUAAGCUUUAUGAACCUGUUUCCAAAGCCACAUGCAAGAAAUGUGUUUGAGGUAUUUAAAGACAGAGAAAUGCCUCAACAAUUAUUAAGGGAUUAGAGGAAAAGGUUCAGGAGGAUAAGAGAAGGUUAUUGCAAACACAAGGGCGUAUGCAUGACACCAUCAUACUCUGUGGCUCUUCCAGAAGUUUCCAGUCUACAACAGACUGUAGAGAGCCUUUUGCAGGAUUUAAUGUGCCCAGUACUUGUGCUCUGCUUAAGGUUAAAAACAUGGAAAAUCUUGUGAUUCCUCGCUGUAACGACCUGUUUGUAUACAGAUAGGCUUUCAACUUAUGGAAAUGACCCAUGGUUUAUGAAAUAGCCUCUUCCUGUUUGCAAUGAUGCAGUGCAAUAUUGAGUCAUCUCUAACCUUUUACCCUUCCCUGUACAAGCUCUUUGUUGUUUGCGACCUGGCCCUUGAGAUUUGGAUUGAUGAUACCAGACAGCAGUUUUUACUUGAACUAGUCCCAGUUUUACCAGCUUUGGAUGAAUUAUUGCACUUUCCUAGGAAAAAGGUUUGAUCCACAUCACCGCUGAUUUGAAUUAUAAGAAAUUGCUAAAAAAUUACCUGUGUGUAGUUUGGGUUGAAAUAAUGAAUUCUUGAUUUUAGGGAUUAAUUGCAUUUCCCAUAUGCACCUAACUCUCCUUCCAUAGAGUAAUGAGUCCAGAGGCCAAGAAGUUCUGGAUGCAGAUGGAAAGUACAUACUGCAGUGUUCCACCAGAUUAUAUUUCCCUGUCUUUUGGAGAGAGCCCCUAAUGCCAGUGAAAUCUCAGCAAUAUGACACCUGGCCCUUCAAGGGAUGAAAUAGAGUGUCUUGCAGGAUUAUAAUGUGAAUUCCUUAGUUAAUUGCUGAAGACGCUGCUGUUCCCCUGCCUUAUGCUUAGUGCACUGAUUUGCAUGUUUACAAGACAAAAGCAAAUUGCAGAACAUAGAGAUCUGAAUGUAAACCCAUUGCUAAACUUUGACCUGGAAGCAUCAAGUUGUUCUUCUGAUCAUUCACAUUUACAGAAGGAACUGUAGCUAAAAGCAUGUGUAUGCAACUGUGAAGCCUUGGAUAUCCUCUGGAGAUGGAUGCAGGCAGGGCAUUCCAGCUUGGAAGUCCCCAAGAGCAGCAUAACAAUGUAUAAC